AUUAUACUCCCUCCGUCCCANNNNNNUUGUCUUAGAUUUGUCUAAAUAUGAAUGUAUCUAGUCACGUUUUAGUAUUUAGAUACAUUAAUUUAUAGACAAACCUAAGACAAGAAUUUUGAGAUGGAGGGAGUAGA
Non-coding RNA from Hordeum vulgare subsp. vulgare (domesticated barley), 134 nucleotides. NCBI's taxonomy places the organism in Eukaryota, Viridiplantae, Streptophyta, Magnoliopsida, Poales, Poaceae. The record is from Rfam.